AUGGGUCUAGUAGACAUGACAUCUAGUGGGUCCCGCAUAGUUCUCGAGAACUCUUUGGGGGCUUGCAGCCGUUUAUCCACCGGGCAAGCUAGCAACCCCAUGUCGUUCGCACGCCCUACUCGUCCCCGUAUUCUACCUCACAAUAGUUCGCUCCCAGUUGUCCCGUCCUUUCACAUUAGUUCGCUCCCAGUUUUUGCGGGGUACAACAGUUCAACUUCUCCUAAUCCUCCUCCAAAAUCCAUGGCCUCCCAAAUCUCCAUGGUUGCCACUGAGUACCAGGUUAGAGCCAUCACCGGCGAUCAGUUCAUCGUCAUCUACACACAUGGAUCCGCAACGGUGAAAGCAUGGCUUGCUCGCUUCCUACGCAUGUUCAACAGUUCAACGGAUGAGUGGGUCGCUGGGCUAGAUGUUGAGUACACCACAGUCCUGGGACGACAGAAGGAUCUAAAGGACAAAGAGAGGAAGAAGCUAGACGUGAUCCAGGUUUUCGUACAUAACGUUUGCUUGGUCUACCACAUAUGCCAUGCCGAUGUUGAGUGCCAGGAUUUUAAGAACUUCCUCAAGGACAAAAGAUUGAAAUUCCUUAGUAGCUUCUUCAAAUGCAUCAAUCUCCUCUUGAAGCUUGUCCUUGCCUUUUUGCUUGUGGUCUUGUGGUGGAAGAUCAUCUUGAGCUUGUGUUCCUUUGAAAGAAGUAGGAUCGUACUUCUCUUGUUGAGGAACAAACAUCGUCUUGGGGUAUUGAUCUUCUUCCCACUCAACUCCAUUGGCAUUGAACUUUCGUUCAAAACCAACACCUUGAUUCUUCCGGUGCCUUCCUUGCUUGCGUACAAUCUCCUCGAAUUGCUUACUUCCGGCAAGGCUCUUGUAAACACCUUUCUCUAUAAUUCCCUUCAAUAA
This 897-nucleotide ribosomal RNA is filed under the name Triticum aestivum (bread wheat). Its description in RNAcentral is "partial small subunit ribosomal RNA". Lineage: Eukaryota; Viridiplantae; Streptophyta; Magnoliopsida; Poales; Poaceae. The record is from RNAcentral.